Molecule: ribosomal RNA, 797 nt
Filed under: uncultured Leuconostoc sp.
Lineage: Bacteria; Bacillati; Bacillota; Bacilli; Lactobacillales; Lactobacillaceae
Description: bacterial SSU rRNA
Rfam family: Bacterial small subunit ribosomal RNA
Source: RNAcentral
AACGCGCAGCGAGAGGUGCUUGCACCUUUCAAGCGAGUGGCGAACGGGUGAGUAACACGUGGAUAACCUGCCUCAAGGCUGGGGAUAACAUUUGGAAACAGAUGCUAAUACCGAAUAAAACUUAGUAUCGCAUGAUAUCAAGUUAAAAGGCGCUACGGCGUCACCUAGAGAUGGAUCCGCGGUGCAUUAGUUAGUUGGUGGGGUAAAGGCUUACCAAGACGAUGAUGCAUAGCCGAGUUGAGAGACUGAUCGGCCACAUUGGGACUGAGACACGGCCCAAACUCCUACGGGAGGCUGCAGUAGGGAAUCUUCCACAAUGGGCGCAAGCCUGAUGGAGCAACGCCGCGUGUGUGAUGAAGGCUUUCGGGUCGUAAAGCACUGUUGUAUGGGAAGAAAUGCUAAAAUAGGGAAUGAUUUUAGUUUGACGGUACCAUACCAGAAAGGGACGGCUAAAUACGUGCCAGCAGCCGCGGUAAUACGUAUGUCCCGAGCGUUAUCCGGAUUUAUUGGGCGUAAAGCGAGCGCAGACGGUUGAUUAAGUCUGAUGUGAAAGCCCGGAGCUCAACUCCGGAAUGGCAUUGGAAACUGGUUAACUUGAGUGUUGUAGAGGUAAGUGGAACUCCAUGUGUAGCGGUGGAAUGCGUAGAUAUAUGGAAGAACACCAGUGGCGAAAGCGGCUUACUGGACAACAACUGACGUUGAGGCUCGAAAGUGUGGGUAGCAAACAGGAUUAGAUACCCUGGUAGUCCACACCGUAAACGAUGAAUACUAGUGUUAGGAGGUUUCCGCCCCUUAGU